This is a long non-coding RNA of Passer domesticus (house sparrow), 9892 nucleotides long. RefSeq lists it as uncharacterized. The transcript has 2 exons. The record is from RefSeq and is a predicted model, not a curated record. NCBI's taxonomy places the organism in Eukaryota, Metazoa, Chordata, Aves, Passeriformes, Passeridae.
UUUUUAAUCUGGGAUGCAAGAAUACUGGGUUUAAAACUCCCUAGCACAGAACCUGGCUGUACCACCCACCUCAGCCCAAGCAUAGCACAAUGACAUGUUCAGCUGGGAUACAAAAAACUUACAGACAGACAGAAACAGACACAGACAAGGGAGACAACCCUCUUCAAAGGAAGGUGAUUCCAAAAGCCAAAUGGGACCAGCUGCUCUGCUAGCUACAGAGACAACAGGUUGAGUCUGAACCUCCUUAAUGCAGUAUCUCUUCUUGCAGCACCAGCAUGUUUCCUCUCUGCCCCUGGUUCCCAUGGUGCCUCACAAAAAGCUAGUGGCUUUGAGUGAUCAAUCCCAACCUGCCACUGAAAGCAAAGACCUCUGAGAUUGAUACCCAGCCGUCCUUCCUGGGGAAACCAAAACAAGAAUACUGCCAGAAAAGACCCAACAGUCAAUACUGAAUGGACAAAAAGGGGAAUGCACCAUCUUGCAAGAGUUUAAGCCUUGCUCUCGUAAGUAAAAGGACCUGUUGCUUCAUUUGAAGUUCAGCUAAUGUCCUCCAUAAAGCAGGCAACCUUGCCUCUUCAGACUCCCUAACAGUUCAGGUACAGGGCUGACAGAGCCUCAGAUGUAACAGCAAAGAGGGACAACACCUCAGAACAACUAAGCUGUCACUGUCUCAAGAAGUUCUUCCAAACUGCCCAAGGGUGUUGUGAGGCUGUGACCAGCAGGGCCAGCUGUGCAUCACAGGUACAGCACAGCAACAGGCAGGCAGAUAAGGGAGCCAGUACUUCAGCAGUAUGCAGCCUCUUCAGGCACCACAAUGAAUAACUGGUAGUGAAUAUUAACCCAAGAAAUUCAAGUUCUGGCACCAAAGAAAUCUCAUCCUGGGCUACACAGAGCCAAUCAGCACCUCAUCUAUUUGACUUGCCUGCUCACAGCUCAGGAGGGGAAGGAAAGGGAGCAAACAAGGCUCACAGCCAUCCACACCUUAUGCAGUGCUGCAGUUUAUGGGCACCACUUCCCAACAUGUCAUGCUCCAGCUGGCUCAGAGUCAAACACUCUUAAGAUGGAGCCCUGCAAGCUAGGACCUGCUGCAUCUGCGGGCAGCUGCUGGAUACCAGGUGAGCCCUCGGCUGGACGAGGGCUGGGGCCCCUCCAUCUGAGAUGGUGUAUGUGGGACUGACAAUGAGACCAACAGGCCGAGACACGUAAAGAGGAAAAAGGAAAAACACACAAACGAAAAGACGCAACUGCAAAAAUCCAGCUUUGGCUGAGAGAGGCCUGAGAGGUCUGCAGUUGAGGGCAGGAAGACUUCCCUACAAGCACCCAAAAUGUCAACCACCCUGCUGUACACAAGACAAGAAGUCUCAGAGCUAUCAAUCAGGUGCUGCAGAGCCCAGUACCAGACUUUCCUCAGUGACAACAACAUAUGCAUCAUUCAUAGCUGUCCUAUUUGGAGUAAGUGCCAAAUUCUUAUUCCCCUUGCAAGACCCUACACUCAGCAACUGACCUGCAGCCCUUCAAAGUGCAGGACCUGUGUCCACUCAGAUCACACUCUCUCCCCACUUCAACAAGCAGGGCCACACAACUCCCUUUUACAUACCUGAGUCGAUGGCUACCACAGGGCCUGGAACAAGCCGACUUCACUCGCUUUGUGUGUUGGACAGUGGCGUUUUACAUGGUAAGAGUCUAAACAGAGCCUUGAGAAUUCUCUCCAAUUCUUAUCUAGCUGCCUCUUUUGACACCCAGAGUUCCCCGAGAGGAAGGCAAGUGGGAGGUGUCUGCACCAAGCACAGAGCAGUCCCAAGCCAUAACAGGCUUUACACUUCACAGGUACAUUUGCAAGCCAUCCUUCACUCUGCUAUAAACACGAGCUCACAAAAGUUUCUCACACCUUUCCACAAACACAAAACUUCCUAGGACUAACCUGUAAAUCUCUCUUAUCAGAAUGCUGGGAACUUCCCCUUGCUGCAGUCAUUCCUUCAAAGUCCCUUUUCCUAAGAAGACUCAAGUAGAUGCAGAGAUCUCUAAUAUUUUAGAAAAAUUACAUCCAUAAUAGUGAACACACAUUUCACUGUAUUCCUAAGCAAACAGAUAGGUCUGAUUUGCUGGGAAGACAUUUCUCUCUUUCAAAAUGAAAAGCCAGAAGAAGGUUUGUAAAUGGGCCGCUAUCAAACAGGUGAUCUAGGGGACUCUUCUGUCAAUUUCUGCCAGGCUAAGGACAGGAGAUGUGCAUGAAGAUAUGCCCAGAUGAAAUCACAAUCAUUUCUCUAGUUCAUAAGGAUAUGAGCACUUACCAGCCUGGGCUUAAAUUCAAAGCCUCAUGAAGUCAGGACACUCACUCAGAUGACCUGAAGAAGAGAAACCAAUAGCUUAGCAUCCACCAAAACAGCCAGCUUGAAAUCUCAUCCCAUAAAUAUGUAAUGCAUAGGGAAUAUUUAUAGCCAAGCACAACUGGGAUGGCCACCUCAUUCCAGAUACGUGCCUCAACCCACAUCAGAUCUUCUGAAAGUAAAGAAAAUGAACUUACAAAUACCUGGCCACACAGCCCAGCAAGAGCCAGAAAGGCACAUGGCAAGGAAAUAUUCAAGGCACUCAGGCAACUGGAAUCACAUAAACUCAAAAUUCAUGAAGCAAUGGCUUCAAAGCAACGUUGGUUCCAGAAAGGACUAAACAAACCUCCUUUAGAAUGGGACCCUCCCAGCUAAUCUUCCCUGCCACUGCAGAGAGAUGCUAACUGUGAAGCCUUCAGUACAGAAGUUUGGUGAUGCUAACAAUUAUCUCACUCACCCUUUCAAGUCAGUGUUUUUCACCCACAAAUGAGCUGGCAAUUAUCAGGCUUUUGUUUGAGCCAAAACAUUUGUGCCUAGAGCUGUGAUAACCCACAUCUCCACAAGGGAGGAGGGCAAGCUACUCUCUGAUUGCCAUCAAGCAAUAUAUCAUACUCUACCUUGCUGUUAACAGACUUCUGUAAAAUAUCCAGCCAACCAUGGAUACGAAACAGGAACAGACACAACCUUCCUCUCUGGUCAAAGCCUGGGGUAUUUAACUGAGGUUUUGUCUGGGAUAGAGUUAAUUUUCUUCCUAACAGCUAACAAGUGCUGUGCUUUGGAUUUCGGAUGAGAAUAAUGUUGAUAUCACACUGAUGUUUUAGAUGUUGCUAAGCAGUGUUUGCAUUAAAGCAAAGAUUCUUCAGCUUCUCACCCUAUCAGUGAGUAGGAUGAGGGGCACAAGAAGCUGAGAGGUGACAUGUCAGGACAGCUGACCCCCACUGUCCAAAGGGAUGUCCCAUAGCAUAUGGUAUUAUGGUCAGUACACAAACUAUGGGGAAAGGUGGCCAUGCACCACCGCUCAGGAACUGGCUGGGCAUUGGUCAGCAGGUGGUGAGCAAUUGCACUGUGCAUCCCUUGUUUUGUAUAUUCUACUUAUUUUAUUAUGAUCCCUUCCUUUUCUGUCCCAUUUUGCUGUCAGUAUCUCAACCAACAAAAUUUUACUUCUUUCCAAAAUCUCUCCCCAUUCCACUGAGGGGUAAGAAGUGAGCCAACAGCUUUGUGAUGCUUAGUUACCAGUGGAAAUCAAACCACAACAGGUACCCAUCACUACAAGAAAAGAGUUGGGUUAAUCUGGGUUAGUCAGCUAAGAGAGUAGCUUUGUAGCCAUCACUCUGCCACUGGCAUGAGAGUAAAGACUUCAGUAAAGCCUUCCUUUCCCUGAAGCACUGUUGCUGCUGUGCUACUUUUUCCAUGUCAGUGGCAUGAAGCCCUGGGAGGUGGGACAGGAGGCAGGGUGUGGAGCAGCUAUACACAUGCAGGGAGAGUCAGACUGAAGGUGAAAGGAACAAGCAGGCAACCAGGACCAUGCAAAAUCAAGUUCUGCCAAAACAAAUUGAAGUUCUGGCCCUGCCCCAACAAGCUGUCUGGCCACUUUCCUCGCUACAAUGCUGGAGUCGGGUUUCAACUAGCACACAGAAAAACAGCUUCACAGCAGUGGAACUGCUCUGUGGGGCAAACUGCAAAUUAUGACAGGAGAAAGAAAGGGAGAAAAUGCACCUCCAGGAAGGAUCAGACCAGCAUAGCUUGAAUCUGCUUUCCAUCAACUCCCAGCAGAAGCUGGUUCAGCAUCACGGCGUAACCACCAGCCACAUGGCAGGCAGACAGACAGAGGUUUCCAGGAACAGCUGCACCCAUGGGUCCAUGCAUGUUUCCACUGCAGCUGUGCUCAGAACAAACAUGCCAAAGGCAUCCCUGUCUCCCAGCACACUGUUCCUCAGGCUCAAACAGAACUAUCCUGCUUCCUACCCUAGAGGCAGUAACUAUGCUACCUGCCAUCUCAUCCCCACUUACCUGGAAAAGAUACAGGAUUUGAAAUCUACCCUCAUGAUCUGAGAAUUUCCAUAGAUAGUUAAAAACUCACAGAGCUGCCAGGCAACUUUCCCUCAAACAAGGACUUACAGAUCCAAAGUGACGACGUGUCCAAACAUUUCUGGUCGUUUGUCUCCGAAUCAGCUUUCUCCUGUAAGUAUUCAGCAGCAUCUGGCCAACAGCUCCUGAAACAUGAGAAAGGAAACUUGGUGUCAGUCACCUAUCAGCACAAAACAUGGAAACAACCAGGCAUGCUCAGAGCAACCCAUAGCCAGGUGACAGGGCAGAAGUCAACAGCAAACUGCUGCACCAUCAGACCACUAUCUAAUGCCAGGUAGAAUGCCUUCACUGUAAAAGCUCCAAGUCUUCACUGCAUCCCAGAAAGCACAGGUAUUUUAACCAUCUCUUCACCAAGCAGGAUGCCUGUGCAGACCAGUAACUGACCAUGGAAAGGCAGCUGGUUUUUCUACAUAGCUCCAGGGGUCCCUGCUUCCCCACCUGCAUUCCUGUCCACCAUCCAGAAUCCAAUUGCUGUCAUUCUGCUCCAACCACUCUUCCACACAAACCUAAUUUUGUUUUGCAGACAUCCCUGCAGUGAACAGCACAGCAAAGGCCUCCUCAUCUACAAUAACUGCGCAUCUCUUGCGGCCACAGAGUGAGAAUCCUGAGGUGGCUCGAUUCACCACACCUCUGUUCAGAGAGGAGCAGAUACUCUCUGCAGAACAGAUGGACCUUCUGCUCCAAAGCAGAACUGGAUAUAGGUAAUAUCCAGAAAUAGAAGAAGGCACUAAUUCUGCUCAUCACACUAUUCACAAGUCUCUCUCUGAAGGAGCUUGCUGUCAAGUCCACAUUAAGACUACCCUGCAGAAGCUCAAUUUUAGCCUGGAGCUACAGCAGAAGGCAGCUCUUCAGCUAUUUCAAUUAGCACUGUAAUACAAGAGGAAACUAAAACUCCUAGUUCUUUUUAUCCAUCCUUUCCACCUCUCAUCAGUAAUGCUCCUUAGCAUUUACAGUCAUCUUUCUACCAGUCUAUCACCUGCAGUAGCAAGUCUAUUGUCUUCUAGCUAUUACCCACUGUUGUUCCAGUAGGAUUUCUUAGGUCACUGACAGCUUCACUGGAAUGGCUUACUAAGGGCCACGAGGCUCACACUGACAAAACACACAAACUCUUUCUUCACAGGGACACCAUGUCCUGGUUACAGAUGAGACAGAGUUAAUUUUCUUUCUGGUAACUGGUACAGUUAUGUGGUUUGGAUUUGGGAUGAGAAUGAUGUUGGUAACACUCUGAUGGUUUAGCUGUUACUAUGCAGUGCUUACUCUAACUCAAGGAAUUUUCAAUUUCUUGUGCCAGUGACAAGGUGCAUGAGAAGCUGGGAGAAAGCAUAGUCAGGACAGCUGACCAAGCUCAGAGGGAGCACAGUCAGGACAGCUGACUCAAAACAAGCAACAGAAUAUUCCAUACUUAAUGGCACCAUGCUCAGUACAUAAACUGGGGGGAGUUGCUGGGAAGGGCCAACUGCUGCUUGGGUAGAGGCUGGGCAUUGCUCAGUGGGUGGUGACCAACUGCACUGUGCAUCCUUUGUUUUUCUUGGGUUUUAUUCCCCUCUCCUUCUCUCCAUUACAAUUGUUAUUAUAUUUUACUUUAUUUAAAUUAUUAAACAGCUCUAAUCCCAACCCACAAGUUUUACUUUUUUCCAGUUCUAUCCCCAUCCCCCUGGGAGCAGAGGGGAGAAUGACCAAGUGCCUGUGUGGUGCUUGGCUGCCAGCUGGGAUUAACCACAACACUGUGACAGGGUGCAGCUGCACAGGCAGCACACAGGCUUGACCCUAGCUGACUUUGCCAGAGAGCACCCCUCAGUGUAAAAUCCACUUGCAGGGUAGUUCUGUUCUCUGUGUGAUCUGAGAAAGCCAAAACCUUUACCACACACCACAAAUAGAUGUCAUCUCACACUGAAUUGCUUAAGACAGUUCUGUGGGCCCUCUACAGAAUAAACAGCCACUUGGCAUGCAUACAAAACCACAUCACCACCCAUGAGCAUUGCUUUAUCUCCAGUAACAAGAAAGAGGUCCCUAGCAGAGAAAGGAAGGUUCAAACAGGAAUGCUUUGGACAAAAAGGGAAAGAACAGAAGAAAUAAAAAAGGCAACAUUUAUAGGCACCUAGUGUCUUCCUCAUAUUUGGCAAGUCCCUUGAGGCCUGAGGUAGCCAACACUUGGGUUCUAAGAUGCACACAACUUCUGCCUGCUUGUAGUUGCAGCAGCUGAACACUCCCUGCAAAGAGGCAGAGGACUUGCAGGCAUUUCCUCAUCAUCAUCUUCUCCUGUGUUGCCUUUUCUGACCUUAUAAAACAGCCUUCUUACCACUGCUGAGGGCCAGCAGGGUCCCUUCCUCAAGGGAAAUACAGUGAUUAUGAUGCAGAUACAGUUUCUUAUUUCAGGUACUGUAUCACCUUUCCAGCUUUUUCCUCUUAACAGCAGCAUUUCUUUAGCACUGCUGUUUAUUCAGAAAGAUAAAAUUGUAUUAAUGAAAAAAUACAUUCCAUAACACAAUCACAGUCACAUUUGUUUCUAAUGCAACACUACAGAAAGAUUUUUUUUGUGGCUAACAGCGUCAGCACACUCCAAAAACUUGCAGAUACAAUACCUACAAGUAACAAAACCAAAUGUCCUGUGACAUAGAUCUGAUCACCACAGUUAAUCUGGAAUAUUGCUCUAUGUGGGCCAACCUAUAUUUUGCAUGCAUAUCCAAUACAGGAUAUUGGCACAUCCUGCUUUAGGAGGUAUCAAUAUUUCCUAACUUCAUGAAAAGCAAACACAAGAGUUUUGUCUAGUUGCCUUCCUGUGCUUAUGGAUAGAGGAAACCUUAGAUUUCAGAAGUCCCAAGACAGACUACCUGAGAAGCUGCUCCAGAAAGCCUGACCAAGACAACUAACCAGGGAGAUGGACAAUGCAAUAACUGCACCAAGGGAUGCUUGUCCAGGACACAAAAACAAGCUGUGUGAAAUUAAAAACAGCACCUGUAGACUGCUGGUGCCAAGCACAAUAGAAAAGGACUGCAAGGUUAUUAAAGGGCCCUUUAACAUUUAAUGAGAGAGAUCUUUUCAUUCAGAGAAGGCAUCUCAAAAGAAUGCUCAGAUCCAUUCUACUGCUGGCUAUGUUGAAGCUCAUUUUUAAAAUAAAAGGAUGACAGCUCCAAUGCAGACUCACAUCUCAGUACUGCUUGUAUGUUAAUGCUCACGAUUCACAUCUGAGUAAUAGCAUUAUAGGGACUCUUGGAUUAAAAUAGAAUUUCAGGAGGAUUAUUGCUCAUUCCUGCUUUUCCAUACCAAUUAACCUUGACUUAGGCAGAAACCUCAGUUCCCUGCAUGGGAACAAUUCCAAGAGCUGUCAAGAAAAAGGGAUCAGGCUAGCUGUUGAACAACAGUCCAUGUAACAAGCCCUACUUAACACCUAACACAUUUCCAAAGAAAAUGAAACCCCUGGACUCCAGUCAUACAUAGUUCCUGUUGAAUGGAAAUACCACAGGACAUAUCAUGUAUCAGUCACAUCCACUGCACCAUGCAGAAUUCUCUUAAAAAUAUCAGAAUCACACUUUUCUUACAGUCCUGCUCUCUCCUUCCACAAUACAAAGAUCUCAGUCCCAUAAUUCAGUUGCACUCCACGCCCUUAAAUGUGCAUUUUAUUAUCUACUCUCUGCUGUGUCAAGAGUAGCUUAGCUUCCCUAAUUCUUUUAUAGAAGCCAGGACUGGUCAACAUUGACCAAGAAAUGCUAGCAUCACUAACAUGUAACUGGAAUAGAAUGCAACAGCUGAUUAACAUCUGAACAGGAACAGGACAGGAAGCAAAGGACCAGAAUUCAAUCCCCAGAAGGAAUGUUAAUGGAGAAUAAAAAUACCCAGGGGAGCUUUUGACCAGGAAAUGAGCACCAGCUUUUUAAUACAUACAAAGCAUAGAACCACCAUUAAUGGCUACACCUGAAAUGGCACAAGAGCCAGCUCAGCAAAAGGUCAUUUACCAAACCACCUUUAGCACAGACUACAUCAAGGGCUAAUGACAGCUUCUCAUUCAGAACUGCUGACACACCAGAAGCGUGUUUAGUUUGUUCAGUGAUCCUUCCAACUCUCACAAGGUAGUUUAGGCUACAAACUUUCAAAGUCUCUUCAUCUCAGCACGCUGGGUUUCAUGUCCUUCCUCACUCUGUCUUCUUACCUGUUCUUUUAAGAUCUCCCAUGAGAAGACUUCUGGAAUAUAUUGCUCAGAAAUUUAAAGAAAUACCAGAACAUUAGAUAAAAACUCAUGGAGAUUAGGAGAACUCUCAAAGUUUCUGAAAGUGUCUGGACCCAGCUGGAAAAAGCAAAUCUUGAUACUCUAACAACAUGUAUCUGGAUAAAGCUGAUACUUCACGUGAAAGAAAUUUGGGAGUUAAGGCCUUAAACUUUCUCCAACACAAGCAAGGGAAUGGCUACCACAAGCAACCAUUUGAAGAGAAGUGGAAGAGGGAGAUUUCUGUAGAAAAUCAUCAUGCAGGAAUUCCUUUCCCAGAUCUCUGUCAUAUCCUGUGCUGUGUAGGAGGGGAAGAAGUGGGGGAAAAUCAUACAUUACCUCCCUAGAGCAUACAAUCAAAAGGCAUUUAAUUAGGACAAGGUGGAAGCAGCUUAAAUUUUUCAAGGGCAGACUACUGAAGGGCAGACUCUCAGCCCCUGUAAGUAUUCCCUGAGUCUCACACAACCCCCAGCAAUUAAUAUCAGCAGUCCUCUUGUUUCAAGCUUUGGUUCAGAAGUUCUGGGCAAACAGCAAACUCCAUCUCUUCAGUGCCAGGAACUGAAUGUCACUGAGCUGCCCCUCUAGCACAGACACAGCAAUGUCACAGAAUGCUCCAUUGCUGGAGCAUUCAACGAUACACUUGCCACAAUCCACUCCCCAAAACAUGCCCUCUGUCCGAGACUCUCAGUGAUGCACAGAUGGCUGACACACUAUGCACUAUCUACACAGUGGGACAAUGGAGCAGAGGACAUUAUUUGCAUUAUUUACAGGGGACAGAUGGACAAGUUGCUACAGUGACCUAGCCUACAGAGCAUCUGCAAUGCUGAGGAGGCGCUAAGCCCAGCUCUAAUGCUUGCAGGUGCUAACAAAAACAAAUUCAAAAAAUAAAACAGCUCUUUACAGCAGUCAGCUUUAUUCUGAAACGUUAUCACUACAACCACGCUUGCAGAGUAAUUCACAUGCCAGUUUUGUUCCCACAGAGCCUUUACCAGCAAGCAGAACAUAAGAUGUAUUGACUAGAUUUAUCCUUUUCAACCAGAAAGAGAACUGGCAUCUGCAGUACUUACUUAUUCCUUGGCCAUAAAUUCUGUAUGUGUGUAAGUCACCACAUAUAGCAGGUGGCACAUACUGUUGGGAGACACAUCCCAGGAAGGAAACAGUAUCAAAAUUGGGUGACAUUUAUUUCAAGCUAUGUACGAAGAAAAGUAACAAAAUUCAGCUCAAACCUGCGCAGCCAUCUGAUUUUUUUCAAACAUUAAACAUUUGUGCCAGGUUUUAA